AAAGAUGCUUGGGAAGUUGCACGUGACUCGUUGUUUCUGGAGAAGAAGCUGGGGCAGGGGUGUUUCGCUGAAGUGUGGCUUGGUAAGGCAGAGGGCACAUUCUGUUUUGGCUGCAUCUCAGAGCCAAUGAAAAGGACAGUUCUGAACAGAAAUGCGUAUGUGACCACUGGGAAAAAGCCCCUAAAUCUUUGUAACUAGAUGGGCCGAAGCCAUCUAGGUCUGCAGAAUCCAGUGGCACUGCGCUAUGUUCAUCUGUCCUAUUUCACGUGGUUAGUCACCUGCAGAACGGACGGGAAGCCAGUGAUGCUGGUGCUUUCUCUUCCUGUGAAAUGGGAUGGUAAGAUGCUGUGCGAGAGCUGCUGUAGAACAAGGCCCCGGGCUUUCUGCGCACCAAGCCUGGUCUAAACCCUCGCUAGAUGACUAA
This 424-nucleotide long non-coding RNA is filed under the name Rattus norvegicus (Norway rat). RNAcentral's name for it is "long non-coding RNA NONRATT017428". The record is from RNAcentral. Lineage: Eukaryota; Metazoa; Chordata; Mammalia; Rodentia; Muridae.